AGCAACGAUAGCUUAAAUUUAAAGCAUUGGUCUUGUAAGCCAAAAAUGAACUCAAAUGUUCUCAUUGCUA
RNAcentral lists this transfer RNA (70 nucleotides) under Conus consors. RNAcentral describes it as "tRNA-Thr". It matches the Rfam family "tRNA". Rfam says of the family: Transfer RNA (tRNA) molecules are approximately 80 nucleotides in length. Their secondary structure includes four short double-helical elements and three loops (D, anti-codon, and T loops). Lineage: Eukaryota; Metazoa; Mollusca; Gastropoda; Neogastropoda; Conidae. The record is from RNAcentral.